CUCCGCUGAGCGACUUCCGGCGGUCUUCGGGCCGACUCCUUCGUGGACUGCGCGCCGGACACCAUGACCAAAAACCAGGAUCCUGGAACUGGAUUAGUAAAACCCACAUCGAGUUCCCUUUUUCUGUCCCGACUGGCCGGGGCACCUAUGUGCCUCUUUUUUUUUUUUUGGUCUGUCAGCUCUCGCCGGAAGUUGCUAGGAGAUGGGACCGGAAGUCCCGCCCCUCCGCAAGAGAGGAAAACGGAAAGCCGAAGAAGUCAAUCUAAAGAAGGGGAGAUGCGUCCGGCUGGAAGUGUCUGAGCCGGAGGGCCAAGUGGCGUUUGGGGAGAGUCCCCAAGCGGAUUCCUCUGGACAUUCCGCCCCUUCCGUGUCCCAUGCCUCGUCACCCCACCCCCGUCCCCCGCCCGCCCGCCGUAGAGGACCCCCGGGGGCGGCGCGUGAGCGCAGCGGGCAGCGCGGGGCGAGCGGCCGCUGCCCUGGGCCUUCCGGGCCCCCAACGGUGCCCGGCGCUUCUAGGCGCCCGUCUACGGGGACACGGUUUCUCUGCUGGGCCAGGCGCGUGCGCAACCCUAGAUGUUGAGGACAAUCUGUCGGUGGACUCCAAGAAAGGAUCCUCGGAGUCACGGGCCGCAGGGAGCCACGAGCCGAGUUCCGAUACUAAAGGGGAGGCAGAGCACCGAGUGUGGUGGCCGGCCAGUUUGGCAAUAAAAGCCGAAAACGCCCUAGGUGUUUAAAAAGCCCCCGCCGGACCGUUUUUAUUAACGGUAGCGACGCAGCGCAAGAAUUGUUAGGAAGAAAGUAAGGCACGACCGAAGCGUGGUCGUCCCCGCCGCCGCCUGCCUCUCUUGCGGGAGCAUCCGCGGACCUGAAGCUUACAGCCCUUCCCCGGAAACUCCAGAUCCAGGAAGGAAGACCGCGGCUUGCAAAGUGCUCUGAGGGACACCUAUAUAGAGAUGAGCGGCGACAUCCCACUUGCGAUCAGCUUGAGACAUCGCUUGCUCAGCAGUUUUGACUUUAUCUUGUGCACAGAUGUUGAAGAGAGAGCAAGGAGGCCUUCACUGACGGGGCAGGAAGAAAGAAGAGGCUGCAGGAGGGGCAGUCGGUUGGCAUCAAUUGCAGCAAAGGUAAAGAGGCUUGGAACCUAAAAAGUACUCAUUUUCGCACAAGGAAUCCCAGAUGGCAUAAGCAUAUGAAUAUUGAUCAUUUCCAUUUCAGCACUUUUGAAGAAGCAGGAAAAAUAAAUGAAGGGGAAGCAAGAGGUUAAUGCGGUAUCAUGCUUUAGUAACUCCUCUAAAAAUGAGCCCACAGGGAAAUUACAGUAGGCAGUGCUGGAGACCAACGUGUUUGUCAAUAAGAUAAAGGGCACAAGUGGUAAAAGCAGGGGUGAUGUAGGAUGGACAGUCACCGGAUGGGAUGACUGUGUGUCAAGCACUUAGAGGCCUAGAGCACAAACUGCAGUGAUUACACCAAUCAAAUUGCAAGCGGAGAAUCUCAUCAGAGACUUGUCCUCAUCCUGAAGGGUACCGUGAGUCCAGGCCUGGGGCAGCCGCAGCAGGACUCAGGGAAGUCAGGUUGUUGAAGGUGGCUGUGGCUUUAGAAAGGUGUGCACGGUGACACAAAACCACGUCUGAUGUCUGCGCCUUGGAAAUAUUUUAUUACUGGUCCAGAUGUCCAAGGGAAAACAUUAUUUUGGGGACCAAAUUCCUCUGAAUAGUUAGAUUUUGUUCCUGCCCAGGGUUGUGUGAAAGGGGAUCUGUCAGUAGGUCAGGCCUAGGCUGGAAGAUUCCUACCAUGAUUAAUGCAGCUUAGCCAUCUCUAGGAAAAAGGCAGCAAAUAAUUUGGAUCCCUCUAUGUAAUUCCACCUAACAAAAGAAAUAGAGACACUGUUAUUCCCAUUCAGAUGACAGAGGGAAAGUAGUCUACAGUUUAAACAGGAAGACUUGAUGACAGAAAUUGCAUCUGAAGUAUGCAGCCUGUCUGGAGGUUACCGGUGUGAGGACCCAGGCUUGUGCAGUGAGGGGUGAGCGCCUACAGGACUCACUAACCUGUUGAUUUUCUCUUUCUGAGAGUGCUCUCCAUCAUCCACAGCGCCCAGCGGGAGCAUCAUCACACUCUUCUGGAUGGUAUCCUGGAAUAUUUUGGCAAUGGGUAUGGUUGAUCCAUCUCGGAUCAUGUCUGGCUCUGUCCCAAACACUGAAUGAAACACAGGAAAAGAAGGCAUUUGAAUAAAAUAAUGACAAGACUACCCCCAGUAAUCUCAAAGCAUGCGGGAUCUUAGUUCCCCAACCAGGGAUCAAACCUGAGGCCCCUG
Molecule: non-coding RNA, 2311 nt
Organism: Delphinapterus leucas (beluga whale)
Lineage: Eukaryota; Metazoa; Chordata; Mammalia; Artiodactyla; Monodontidae
Source: RefSeq, a predicted model, not a curated record